RNAcentral lists this ribosomal RNA (120 nucleotides) under Helianthus annuus (common sunflower). Lineage: Eukaryota; Viridiplantae; Streptophyta; Magnoliopsida; Asterales; Asteraceae. The record is from RNAcentral. RNAcentral also lists the same sequence under 2 other names.
GGUUGCGAUCAUACCAGCACUAAUGCACCGGAUUCCAUCAGAACUCCGCAGUUAAGCGUGCUUGGGCGAGAGUAGUACUAGGAUGGGUGACCCCCUGGGAAGUCCUCGUGUUGCAACCCC